Ribosomal RNA from Bison bison bison, 108 nucleotides. The record is from Ensembl. NCBI's taxonomy places the organism in Eukaryota, Metazoa, Chordata, Mammalia, Artiodactyla, Bovidae.
AUCUAUGGCCAUACUACCCUGAACGCACCCAAUAUCUUCUCAUCUCAGAAGCUAAGCAGGGUGGGGGCUGGUUAGUACUAGGAUGGGAGAAUCCUUAUCUCAUGUAGC